GACGAACGCUGGCGGCGUGCUUAACACAUGCAAGUCGAACGGAAAGGCCCUGCUUUUGUGGGGUGCUCGAGUGGCGAACGGGUGAGUAACACGUGAGUAACCUGCCCUUGACUUUGGGAUAACUUCAGGAAACUGGGGCUAAUACCGGAUAGGAGCUCCUGCUGCAUGGUGGGGGUUGGAAAGUUUCGGCGGUUGGGGAUGGACUCGCGGCUUAUCAGCUUGUUGGUGGGGUAGUGGCUUACCAAGGCUUUGACGGGUAGCCGGCCUGAGAGGGUGACCGGCCACAUUGGGACUGAGAUACGGCCCAGACUGCUACGGGAGGCAGCAGUGGGGAAUAUUGCACAAUGGGCGGAAGCCUGAUGCAGCAACGCCGCGUGCGGGAUGACGGCCUUCGGGUGGUAAACCGCUUUCGCAGGUGACGAAGCGUGAGUGACGGUAAUGGGUAAAGAAGCACCGGCUAACUACGUG
RNAcentral lists this ribosomal RNA (468 nucleotides) under uncultured bacterium. RNAcentral's name for it is "partial 16S ribosomal RNA". It matches the Rfam family "Bacterial small subunit ribosomal RNA", at positions 28 to 507 of the family's 1533-position model. The record is from RNAcentral.